GAUGAACGCUGGCGGCGUGCCUAAUACAUGCAAGUCGAGCGAACGGACGAGAAGCUUGCUUCUCUGAUGUUAGCGGCGGACGGGUGAGUAACACGUGGAUAACCUACCUAUAAGACUGGGAUAACUUCGGGAAACCGGAGCUAAUACCGGAUAAUAUUUUGAACCGCAUGGUUCAAAAGUGAAAGACGGUCUUGCUGUCACUUAUAGAUGGAUCCGCGCUGCAUUAGCUAGUUGGUAAGGUAACGGCUUACCAAGGCAACGAUGCAUAGCCGACCUGAGAGGGUGAUCGGCCACACUGGAACUGAGACACGGUCCAGACUCCUACGGGAGGCAGCAGUAGGGAAUCUUCCGCAAUGGGCGAAAGCCUGACGGAGCCACGCCGCGUGAGUGAUGAAGGUCUUCGGAUCGUAAAGCUCUUUUAUUAGGGAAGAACAUAUGUGUAAGUAACUGUGCACAUCUUGACGGUACCUAAUCAGAAAGCCACGGCUAACUACGUG
This 497-nucleotide ribosomal RNA is filed under the name uncultured bacterium. RNAcentral's name for it is "partial 16S ribosomal RNA". It matches the Rfam family "Bacterial small subunit ribosomal RNA", at positions 28 to 507 of the family's 1533-position model. The record is from RNAcentral.